Molecule: long non-coding RNA, 565 nt
Filed under: Erythranthe guttata (spotted monkey flower)
Lineage: Eukaryota; Viridiplantae; Streptophyta; Magnoliopsida; Lamiales; Phrymaceae
Description: long non-coding RNA (EGUT_LNC001996)
Source: RNAcentral
UUUUUUCCCGUGCUGAUUGAAGAAGUCCGUUAUAUAUUUCUUGAAGCUCUUCGUCGGAGUUGCACAAGGUUUGUGUCCCUUCGAUUUUACAGAUUACAUAAUUUUUUUAUUUUGCUUUUUUGGGAAAAAAAAUCUAACUCCGCUCCAACUUUUUUGUAUUGUACAAAUGUUGAAAGGAGUUGUUGCAUACGAAUUGUCGACUGGUGGAUGGGGCUUGCUCAAUCGGAUAGCUUAUGACUCGGCUUAGAUGACAAGCUUGAACGCCUUCUUCCUAAAAUAUGUUUGCAUUAUCAGGUUAGUUAAUACAUGUUAUGAUGUGCGUCCAUAUUAUUACUUGUUCACCCAUCAAUUUUGUGCAUGUUUCUGGCAUUUAUAUGCUAAUUUAUGGCAGAGAUCCUCCGCUUUGAUGUUUUUAGUAAAAAGAGUAAUUGAAAAAUAAGUAUGUUUAAGAAUGCUUCAAGAGAGAGUAAUUUACAUUUUGUCUUGAAUGUUGUUUACUUUCUAAUUCUCUUCUUGCUUUAUUUAGUUUAUGUUUGAGGUUUUCAUAUGUAGAGAAGAUGGUGGU